This 396-nucleotide ribosomal RNA is filed under the name uncultured bacterium. Its description in RNAcentral is "partial 16S ribosomal RNA". It matches the Rfam family "Bacterial small subunit ribosomal RNA", at positions 338 to 726 of the family's 1533-position model. The record is from RNAcentral.
CCUACGGGAGGCAGCAGUGGGGAAUAUUGCGCAAUGGGCGAAAGCCUGACGCAGCGACGCCGCGUGAGGGAUGAAGGUCUUCGGAUCGUAAACCUCUGUCAGCAGGGAAGAACGGUCACUGUGCUAAUCAGCAGUGAAUUGACGGUACCUGCAAAGGAAGCACCGGCUAACUCCGUGCCAGCAGCCGCGGUAAUACGGAGGGUGCGAGCGUUAAUCGGAAUUACUGGGCGUAAAGCGCUCGUAGGCGGUAUGUCAAGUCUAGGGUGAAAUCCCCGCGCUCAACGUGGGAACUGCCUGUGAAACUGGCGAACGGGAGAGUGUGAGAGGCUAGUGGAAUACCAGGGGUAGGAGUGAAAACUGCAGAUAUCUGGCGGAGAAUCAGUGGCGAAGGCGAAU